This 20-nucleotide microRNA is filed under the name Corchorus olitorius. RNAcentral's name for it is "bta-miR-232". The record is from RNAcentral. Lineage: Eukaryota; Viridiplantae; Streptophyta; Magnoliopsida; Malvales; Malvaceae.
CGUUUUUUUUUUUCUUUUUC